ACAAGCGGCGGAGCAUGCGGAUUAAUUCGAUGCAACGCGAAGAACCUUACCAAGGCUUGACAUACACCGGUAACGCCCAGAGAUGGGUGCCCCUUUGUGGUCGGUGUACAGGUGGUGCAUGGUUGUCGUCAGCUCGUGUCGUGGGAUGUUGGGUUAAGUCCCGCAACGAGCGCAACCCUCGUCCUAUGUUGCCAGCGGGUCAUGCCGGGGACUCAUGGGAGACUGCCGGGGUCAACUCGGAGAAGUGGGGAUGACGUCAAAUCAUCAUGCCCCUUAUGUCUUGGGCUUCACGCAUGCUACAAUGGCCGGUACAAAGGGCUGCGAUACCGCGAGGUGGAGCGAAUCCCAGAAAGCCGGUCUCAGUUCGGAUUGGGGUCUGCAACUCGACCCCAUGAAGUCGGAGUCGCUAGUAAUCGCAGAUCAGCAACGCUGCGGUGAAUACGUUCCCGGGCCUU
Molecule: ribosomal RNA, 455 nt
Filed under: uncultured Curtobacterium sp.
Lineage: Bacteria; Bacillati; Actinomycetota; Actinomycetes; Micrococcales; Microbacteriaceae
Description: bacterial SSU rRNA
Rfam family: Bacterial small subunit ribosomal RNA
Source: RNAcentral